GAUGAACGCUAGCGGCAGGCUUAACACAUGCAAGUCGAGGGGCAGCGGGGAGGAAGCUUGCUUUCUCCGCCGGCGACCGGCGCACGGGUGAGUAACACGUAUGCAACCUGCCCCUGUCAGGGGGACAACCCGCCGAAAGGCGGGCUAAACCCGCGUACAUGCCACCGGGGCAUCCCGGAGGCAGGAAAGGCUUCGGCCGGACAGGGAUGGGCAUGCGGCGCAUUAGGCAGUAGGCGGGGUAACGGCCCACCUAACCGACGAUGCGUAGGGGUUCUGAGAGGAAGGUCCCCCACACUGGUACUGAGACACGGACCAGACUCCUACGGGAGGCAGCAGUGAGGAAUAUUGGUCAAUGGUCGGGAGACUGAACCAGCCAAGCCGCGUGAGGGAGGAAGGUACAGAGUAUCGUAAACCUCUUUUGUCAGGGAACAAAGGCGGGGACGUGUCCCCGGAUGAGUGUACCUGAAGAAAAAGCAUCGGCUAACUCCGUGCCAGCAGCCGCGGUAAUACGGAGGAUGCGAGCGUUAUCCGGAUUUAUUGGGUUUAAAGGGUGCGCAGGCGGUCUGUUAAGUCAGCGGUCAAAGCCCGGGGCUCAACCCCGGCCCGCCGUUGAAACUGGCAGUCUCGAGUUGGAGAGAAGUAUGCGGAAUGCGCGGUGUAGCGGUGAAAUGCAUAGAUAUCGCGCAGAACUCCGAUUGCGAAGGCAGCAUGCCGGCUCCACACUGACGCUGAGGCACGAAAGCGUGGGUAUCGAACAGGAUUAGAUACCCUGGUAGUCCACGCAGUAAACGAUGAAUGCUGGCUGUCCGGGGGGAUUGACCCCUGGGUGGCGAAGCGAAAGCGAUAAGCAUUCCACCUGGGGAGUACGCCGGCAACGGUGAAACUCAAAGGAAUUGACGGGGGCCCGCACAAGCGGAGGAACAUGUGGUUUAAUUCGAUGAUACGCGAGGAACCUUACCCGGGCUCAAACGGGGAGUGACUCAGGCAGAGACGCCUGUUUCCCACGGGACACUCCCCGAGGUGCUGCAUGGUUGUCGUCAGCUCGUGCCGUGAGGUGUCGGCUUAAGUGCCAUAACGAGCGCAACCCCCGCGUGCAGUUGCUAACAGAUAACGCUGAGGACUCUGCACGGACUGCCGGCGCAAGCCGCGAGGAAGGCGGGGAUGACGUCAAAUCAGCACGGCCCUUACGUCCGGGGCGACACACGUGUUACAAUGGGUGGUACAGCGGGAAGCCAGGCGGCGACGCCGAGCGGAACCCGAAAUCCACUCUCAGUUCGGAUCGGAGUCUGCAACCCGACUCCGUGAAGCUGGAUUCGCUAGUAAUCGCGCAUCAGCCAUGGCGCGGU
Molecule: ribosomal RNA, 1346 nt
Filed under: uncultured bacterium
Lineage: Bacteria
Description: partial 16S ribosomal RNA
Rfam family: Bacterial small subunit ribosomal RNA
Source: RNAcentral